Molecule: unclassified non-coding RNA, 786 nt
Filed under: Hevea brasiliensis (rubber tree)
Lineage: Eukaryota; Viridiplantae; Streptophyta; Magnoliopsida; Malpighiales; Euphorbiaceae
Source: RNAcentral
AACUGCGUAUAGCCUGAAUUGGUAAACUGAUUAUAAGCAAGAGCCAUUGAAACAGCACCACGCAUAAGACCAGCCCACCAAAUUGUUACCUGUUGCUUUAUGUCAAUUUUCUCAUUCUUAGUCAAGUUGGAUAGAAAGGAUAAGGGGAAAACAAAGGCUGCUCUUCCAACCAGAACCAAUCCCAAGAGUAUUGCACUCACGCCAACCGACAUCCCAGGGCUAUGGCUUACAAACUUCCAUUUCUCAAUGUCCAAGGCAUCCAUGCCAACGUACAGGAAAAUGAAUAUCUCAGCAACAAACGACAAAGUGGCAAAAGCAUGCUUAGUUGUCACUCUUGAACUUUCAGUCACAUUAUGCCAUGUAUAGUGAGACAUAACAAUCCCACAAAAGAAUACAGUGAGAAUUGCACUUAAAUAGAAUAGUUCAGCCAGCAUAUAUGAAAGGUAAGCCAUAAGAAUCAUUAGAGCAACCUCACGGUCAGUAGAGUGCCUGCCAAAGUAAAGCUUCUUAAUAAUGUAUGCACUGAGUAGUCCAGCUAAAACUCCCAAAAUGGUGCUUGAGAUAAACAGAUUUAGAAAGUUCCCAACAAAUUGCAUUGCGGCACUUGAAUUGAUGUGGGAGAGAUCAAAGCUCUGGAUUGCAUUGAAAAACACCACCGAUGUGGCAUCAUUUACCACACCUUCUCCAAAUACCAGACUGUAUAGUAAAGGCGUCUCAUCCUGAUUAAGCACCUGUAAGGUACAAACAGAAUCUGUGGCAGAGAAUAUUGCUCCAAUAGCAAGAUAG